GCCCGCUUGGCUUAGUGGUACAGCGUCUCACUCGUAUCAGUACGUUAUGAGAAGAUCCCUCGUUCGAUUCGGGGAGUGGGCA
Non-coding RNA from Elasticomyces elasticus, 82 nucleotides. NCBI's taxonomy places the organism in Eukaryota, Fungi, Ascomycota, Dothideomycetes, Mycosphaerellales, Teratosphaeriaceae. The record is from the annotation of a GenBank genome assembly.